This is a long non-coding RNA of Solanum tuberosum (potato), 891 nucleotides long. RefSeq lists it as uncharacterized. The record is from RefSeq and is a predicted model, not a curated record. NCBI's taxonomy places the organism in Eukaryota, Viridiplantae, Streptophyta, Magnoliopsida, Solanales, Solanaceae. The transcript is spliced from 5 exons.
AGAAAACAAAACUGACGCUCUUAAGUUGUCCAUCAGAGAAAACCUCAACUAGCUCAUCUAUAGUUCCCAUGAUAGUCAGUACUGGUGCACAACAGCUUCUCUCUAUCGCAGAAAUCUCAUCAGCACCUUCUAUGGGAGUCCUCUCUGUUGACGCACAGAUGGCCAUAUUAGAUGAAUUCCAAGACUUUUGUGUGCUUGAAUGCUCAGGAUGCAAAUAGAAGAAGCGUACAAAGGAUAGAAAGGAUUUUGAUUGUCCAAAAUGCAAGCGCACAACAGCCUUAUUGCCUCGCUGUAGCUUCCAAAUUGAUCUUCUUGACAAUACUGGUACAACCACAACAUCUAUCUCUGUUGAAUUAGGAGAAAAAUUGAUGUCCAUGACAGCAGAAGACAUAUUUGAAAUAACUUGCACUAAGCGACAAUCAUUGUCUCUUAAUCAUGUCCAUGAGAUGUUGUCGGACAGAUUAUUCGAAAUUCAGCUAAGGAAGUCAUCUUGGGCCAGCUCAAAUACCACACAUACAACUUUGUCCGUUCUUUCCUACAUGGGAAAAAAGCAUGCUCCACACACCACCACUGAUAGGACUUCUAAAAAGAUAAAACCUCUGGAAAUAAGUGAGGUAGAAGUCAUGGCAACAACUACUGCAGCUGGUUCUUCAAAUGCACCGCCAAAGUUUGAACCACCCACACCAGCCAAAAAGGUCUAAAAGGAACUCCGUCACACCAUUUUGUGGCUUUUGCUUAUGAUAGGGACAAUCUAAUGACUGACUCUCCCUGUGCUCUACUUUCUUUCAUGACAAAGAUUACCUAUGGCCAAGCAAACUGUAGUGUUCUCUAAAUAUGAUGCUGCAACAUGUAGUAUAUUAUUUUGCUUAUAUUCCAUUAGUUAGUAUGUGC